RNAcentral lists this ribosomal RNA (327 nucleotides) under uncultured eukaryote. RNAcentral's name for it is "partial 18S ribosomal RNA". It matches the Rfam family "Eukaryotic small subunit ribosomal RNA", at positions 1470 to 1796 of the family's 1831-position model. The record is from RNAcentral.
CCCUUAGAUGUCCUGGGCCGCACGCGCGUUACACUGAUGCAUUCAACGAGCUUAUAACCUUGGCCGAGAGGCCUGGGCAAUCUUGUUAACGUGCAUCGUGAUAGGGAUAGAUUAUUGAAAUUAUUAAUCUUGAACGAGGAAUUCCUAGUAAACGCAGAUCAUCAAUCUGCAUUGAUUACGUCCCUGCCCUUUGUACACACCGCCCGUCGCACCUACCGAUUGGAUGGUCCGGUGAAGCCUCGGGAUUGUGUUCUUGCCGCUUUAUUGUGGCGUGACCGCGAGAACUUGUCUAAACCUUAUCAUCUAGAGGAAGGUGAAGUCGUAACA